Long non-coding RNA from Zingiber officinale, 5099 nucleotides. RefSeq lists it as uncharacterized. NCBI's taxonomy places the organism in Eukaryota, Viridiplantae, Streptophyta, Magnoliopsida, Zingiberales, Zingiberaceae. The transcript is spliced from 5 exons. The record is from RefSeq and is a predicted model, not a curated record.
CCCAAAAUUUACGCACCCUAGCCUUUUUUUUUUCCCGCUGGCAUUCCUUUCCUCUUCCCUUUGUUCCUUUUCUCUUCGAAGCAAAUAAGGAGUAGCUCCUCUUCCCACUGGAGGAGCGCUUCUUUUCUCUCCGUAACAAGGAAGGAUGCUCUUCUUUCAUCUCCGCAACAAGCAAGGAGGAGCUCUUCUGUCUUGACAGCAAGAAAAGAGGAGAUAUUCUUCCCUCUCUGCAACAAGCAAGGAGAGACUCUUCUUCCCUCUCCGCAGCAAGCAAGGAGGAGCUCUUCUUUCCUCUCCGCAGGAAGUAAGGAAGAGCUGAAAGGCCAAGAAUUUGGUUGAUCCAUUUGCAUAUAAGGAAUACAUAGAACAAUAGAAGAAAGAAAGGAUGGAUGCAAAGCAAGCUUCCCGCAUCACAAUAUAUAAAAGGUUACCUAAAGUAAAUAGGCUUCUAGCAACUCGUCUUCAGCAAGGAGAAAAAGAAGAAGGAGAAAUGGCUGACACAGAUGAUAUUGGGGCAAAAAAGGUCAAAGAAGAAUAAGGGAUUAAACACUGAGAUUCUGAGAGAUACACAUUUUGCAUCAAUGUUUGAGGAUAAGAUUAUUUCUCUUUCAUUGAAGAUGUUGCUGCAACAAGAGCUCCUAAGAGCUUGAAUCACUUAUAGAACAUGCUCCAAGCCCAAGGUAUUAAAAUUAUAAGGCAUUUGACUUUUCACAACUUAUAGUUAGACAACAAUCUUGAGAACAAUGGGAAUUACUCUAAAAUUUAUGCUUUGUUUCAGUAAAAAAAAUUCAAUGUUAUUGGAGCUCUGAAUGUUUUCAUCUCAGUGAUGUCAUUUGAAUGUUUCCUAAAUGGAUGAUGGUAGUAUAGCAUACUAUUGAUUGCGGACAUUGUUCACCUUUACCUGUCUGUGAUGAUCGAGAAUGAGUCUCCAACUUCAGAAAUCUAUAUUAUAUUUCCACUCGUGACCUUAGAUGACACAUGACUUUUGAAAUAGGAAUAUAAUUCUAGAAUGGUUCUAGUUCUUUAGUCACAGUUACCCAGAAUUUAUGAUUGUAUAAUGGAUUAGCUUCUGAGUUUAGCAGAUAAACGCUCACCAAAGAAACUCCUCUUUUAGAUCAAUGAACCAUGUGCUUCUAAAUCAUUACUCUGUAUAAAUGUCAAAACUUUAGUAAGAAUACUUCUGAUCCCUGAUCAUUCUUUAGAUUUUGUAUUACUAGAUGCAAUUUACUACGUACAUAAAUCAGGAACUAUUAGGUCAUGGUAAGGUGUUUAAAUUUAAGUAAUUUUCUAUUCAUUUCUUUUCUCCAUUAUACUUCCAGAACUAUCUGACUUUAAUUUGAAGGUAACAAGGAUCAGUUUGUUGCUAAACUUAAUACCUUAUUGAUAAUUGAGGAUUUAUACUCUGCAUAUGGCUUUAUCACAGAGACUGAACUUUAUUUGACUCAACUAUAGAUUACAGGUGAAGCAUUAAUAUCGCCUGUAGCCAAGGAAGGGCUAAUUCCUCUUGUUAUUCCACUAUCAGAAAGCCCUUCAGGUUUCAUAUUUGAUCUAUAUUUUUUACUGGAAUAGAAGUGAUAAUGCCUUUGGCUUUGCUUCUGCAACAGUAAGUUGACUCUUUACUAAGAUGGCCAACUUCUCCUCCAGGGAUGGAAAUGCCAGUUGUGGAAGUUCAUAAGCACGGUGUGUGAUAGAUACACUUGAUUAGUAACAUUAUUAUCUAUUCUAAUGAUUUUUUAUAUGUCUUAUACUUAAAGAAAAAGUAAGUCCUACAAAUACAUCAAUUAUACAAUCAAAAGUUUGAAUUGAAGGGCACAAGAAAAAAAUGGAGAACCUAGUAGUCAAACUAUUGCAGAGAAAAUGAUAAUAAAACUAUCUCUUUGUUAUUUAUAGAAUUCACAAGAAAAAAAUAGAUAACCUAAAUUUCUUAUUUUAUCAAAAGUUGUCUUUUGUUAUUUGCAAAAGGAAAUAGAAGAGUGUCCACUUGGAGUUGUUGGAGAGGUCGAAUUGCAUUCAUAGAUUCAAAAGUAAAAAUGCUUCACUUUCUACACUACAGAUUUUGUUGGAAAUUUUGAGUUGAUAGAGUUUUUAUGGAGAAGGUGGAUCUAAUUCUUUCAUAUGAUGAAAUGCUUUAUCUUAGGGAUGCAAUAGGAAACAUAGUCGCUUAGUUAUCUAAAUUUAUAGUUUUGUAUGACAUAUAAAUUCUACUUAUUUUAAAGUUAUAUACUCUUUUGUAGGAAAGAAAUUAUGUUACUAAGUGAAUUUUUUGAUACUAGUUUGGAUUAUUUUUAAAGUUAUUAUAAUUGUUUGAAUUUUGAUUUUAUAAUUGCCUUGAUGUGGUAUUAUAAUUUGUGCGUGGUAUCUUUAUGUGGUAGUUGAAUGAUCGUAACCAAAGCAUGCGACAUGUGUUGUGAAUGCUCUUAAUCGUAGGAUGCGGUGCACACUGUGAAUGCUUUUAAUCAUGUCGCGCAUUGCGAAUGCUCUUACCCGUAACGCGUGUCGUGUUCUGUGAAUGCUCAUAAUUGCAGCACGUUGUGAAUUCUCUUAACCACAACAUGUUGUGCAUGUUGUCAAUGUUUUAUGACAUUCAACAAUUUAUAGUUGUGCAACAUGCGAUAUGCGCUACGGAUAACAUAAUUACGCGUUGCGAAAAGUCAUUGUUGAUGCAAACACAUUCAUAAUCACAAACACAAUCACAUACAAGCAUUGGUUAUCACCAAGGCCACAUAAUCAUCGCCGCUCAAAUUUGGUGCUUGGGUUGUCUGGUUAGCAGUGUGGUCAUGUUCAACAUAUCGGCUCAGCAAUGCACAACAACCUCGGCAGCCUAGUAGUUCCGUCCUCAACAUCAAUGCAGUAGCACCGUUCCAUUAGCACCCCAACCUUUCCAUCCGCAUCCAACACAGAGCUCUGCAACAUCCACAUACCUUCCUCCAUUCAGCAUCGCCAGCUCAGCUACAGCAGUUUUAGGGCUCCUCCUAGCUUCGCAAUAAGUUUCCAGCAUCAGCAAACCAGAGCAAGGAAAGACUCCGUCCAACCUCGGUAGUCUCAGGGAAGCUUGACUUAUCUCUAGCAGCUUGGAAGGUUGUCAUAGCUUGGGAGGCCUUCUCAUUGGAGGUUCAUCCUCGUAGAUUGAAAACUAGCUCUCGUCUACAAACCAACACCUAGAGAAGAUAGUUUCGGCCUACACCCCAGACCAAAGGUGUAGCACCAAAUGAUAUGUAAUGUUGUAUCGGAUUGGGGAGCAGCACUAGUAUCAUGCUCAGGAUGAUCAACACCUUCGGACUUAGCUCCGGUCACCACUUUGCAGAGGUUCAACGUUGUGGAUGAUGAUUCAUUGGAGCUCCCCCUCGCGUGCAGCAGCUCCAAUCCACCGCGACCGUAGUCCCUAACACCUAGCAGUGAUCAUAGCCACCCAUAUGCUGCUUCCUUCCCUCCAUCACAUUAAGUGCAUCUGUAAAAUCUUCCACCCCAACCACCAGCUGAGGGAGAGCCCAUCAUAGUGAGGAUGCUGGCUAGACUCCCUUUGUGACCCGAUGAGCAGAUGAACACCUCCACCAUAGCCGUGGCUAAUAGUUCAGCAAACCCUAGCUGAGCUUUGUACACCACAUCAAAUUUCUCACUGGCAUAGAAAGAAGAAGGGGGGUUGUGAUAGUUGUGAACCCUAACUCCUUAACCCCGCAUUUCAAUGGGUUACAGGUUUUGGAUCACAACUCGAAACCGACAUUUGUAUCCAACUGGCCAUCGAAUUUGAAAUUCAAAUUUGGAUUUUGAAUUUGAAAUUUUUGCCUCCCCACACGCUUCACCCGCUUAUCCCUUUGACUGUGGCUAUGUCAGUAUUAGUAUUAGUAUUAGUCCUAAUAUCAAUUAUUAAAUGAUUGACAUGGGUAAUUUUGUAUCAUAUUUCAUUAAUUAAUAAAAAGAAAAGUCAAUUAUAUUUAUUUCAGUUCAAUGCCGAAUGAAUAAGUAUAAUAAUGCCAUAGGGUAGUAGGUUCUAGUUUAUAACAUAUCAAUUGGUUGAAUUGAUAAUGAAAUAUGUAGAUAUAUAUAGAAUACUACUGUUAACUAUUUUUAGUCAAACAUUAAUAUACAAAGACCAUAUUAAUGCGUUGAAAUUAGUAUGUAAGUCGACGGAUGACUUAAUCUCACAAGUCAUGGAUAUGAGAUAUCAGGUUGACAUAUGAGUAUAUAUUAGAAAAUAUAUAUAGAAUGAUCUAGCAUGAGAAUGUUUCAUCGAUCGUUAUAUGAGUGUCAUAAACAUUCUCAUAGUGACUAUUAGUAUGCAUAGUUCUUAGACCUAAAGUCACUAUGGUUCUCUACAUAAGGAGUUAUGUACUUUGGUAUCGAUAAAUGUCACUUAUAAUAAGGUGGACUAUAAAUUCGAUCACUUGGUAUACAAUAAAUUAUGCGGAGGGAUGCGAGUGAUGUAGAUGAGAUCUAUCUCUUUCAUAUGAUGAAAGCGAUAUCUAUGGAUCCUUUGAUUAGUAGGACACAAAAAUACAUGACCAUACUCAAAUGAGUUAAUAUACAAUAUUAAGCUUAUUUGAUUAAGUGUGUUUAUUUAGAGAUUAAGAAACAUAAAGAUUGAUAAGAGAAUGACACGGUCUAUGCCUCAUUGAUCAAUCUAGAUAUUAAAGAUAGAAGAAGUAUUAAGUUAUACAAGAUAAUAGACACAGAAAGGUUAGGUUAGAUCUCGACAUUCUCGUCACUUGGGUAACAAUAAUGCAUUGUUAGAUACCACUCAUUGCUUAUGUAUCUAAAAUGAUUUUAGAUAUAUUACCAACGUUAUGAGAGCCUAUUGGGUCACACACAAAGAGCAUGUUGAUUUGAAGAUAGAUUAUAUGAUUAAGUCUAAUCCGAAUUAUACAUAUUGAGUUAGACUCGAAUCAAUUCGGAUUAGACUCAUUGAGUAAUUGGUUAGAUUCAUUGGUUUAUUGGGUUAAUGACUUAUUGGUUAACGGUUAAUCCAAUAUAUUAAAUUCAAUCCAUUAGGAUUAAUGAAUAUUAAUAGAGAUUAAUAUAUCAUUAAUCAAAAGAAAGAUCAAGAGAUAAAAUUUUUUUAUAUUCAUUGGAUGUGUAGUAUUCGAAAUCACUUAUUUAAUUAA